GAUGAAGAACGUAGCAAAAUGCGAUAAGUAAUGUGAAUUGCAGAAUUCAGUGAAUCAUCGAAUCUUUGAACGCACAUUGCGCCCGCUGGUAUUCCGGCGGGCAUGCCUGUUCGAGCGUCAUUUCAACCCUCAAGCCCCCGGGUUUGGUGUUGGGGAUCGGCUCUGCCCUUCUGGGCGGUGCCGCCCCCGAAAUACAUUGGCGGUCUCGCUGCAGCCUCCAUUGCGUAGUAGCUAACACCUCGCAACUGGAACGCGGCGCGGCCAUGCCGUAAACCCCAACUUCUGAAUGUUGACCUCGGAUCAGGUAGGAAUACCCGCUGAACUUAAGCAUAUCAAUAAGCGGAGGA
This 347-nucleotide unclassified non-coding RNA is filed under the name soil metagenome. RNAcentral describes it as "partial contains 5.8S ribosomal RNA, internal transcribed spacer 2, and large subunit ribosomal RNA". The stretch from base 1 to 120 matches the Rfam family "5.8S ribosomal RNA", at positions 35 to 154 of the family's 154-position model. The record is from RNAcentral.